UUGUACACACCGCCCGUCACACCAUGGGAGUGGGUUGCACCAGAAGUAGCUAGUCUAACCUUCGGGAGGACGGUUACCACGGUGUGAUUCAUGACUGGGGUGAAGUCGUAACAAGGUAGCCGUAGGGGAACCUGCGGCUGGAUCACCUCCUUAA
This 154-nucleotide ribosomal RNA is filed under the name Sorangium cellulosum. RNAcentral describes it as "partial 16S ribosomal RNA". It matches the Rfam family "Bacterial small subunit ribosomal RNA", at positions 1381 to 1533 of the family's 1533-position model. Lineage: Bacteria; Pseudomonadati; Myxococcota; Polyangiales; Polyangiaceae. The record is from RNAcentral.